RNAcentral lists this non-coding RNA (117 nucleotides) under Acidovorax sp. MR-S7. RNAcentral's name for it is "Glycine riboswitch aptamer". It matches the Rfam family "Glycine riboswitch aptamer". Rfam says of the family: This family represents the bacterial glycine riboswitch. Lineage: Bacteria; Pseudomonadati; Pseudomonadota; Betaproteobacteria; Burkholderiales; Comamonadaceae. The record is from Rfam by way of RNAcentral. RNAcentral also lists the same sequence under 1 other name.
GUUUCCCUUGCUGGAGAGAGGCCGCAGCACAGCAUGCGGCCCACCGAAGGAGCAAGCCCCGCGACAUGCCAUGCAGGCGGGGUGAAUCUCUCAGGUAAAGCGGACAGCGGGGCAAAU